Molecule: long non-coding RNA, 230 nt
Filed under: Elaeis guineensis (African oil palm)
Lineage: Eukaryota; Viridiplantae; Streptophyta; Magnoliopsida; Arecales; Arecaceae
Description: long non-coding RNA (EGUI_LNC031003)
Source: RNAcentral
UAUGGCAUCUCUUUGUUGGAGGCCUAAACUCUAGCCCUCUAACCUUUCAACGUCUGUUGGAACCUCCUGAAGCAAAUCACAGGCCACCUGAUGAUCCUCCAGGGUGAAAUUUGAUGGUGGGAUCGAAGAGGUCCCCGAUCCUUGACUGAUGGGGGGAGAAUAGAUACUAAAUUGACCUUCUCAACUCAGAAAGAAGAUGGAGCUACAACCUAGAGAGUAGGAGAUAAGGC